AGUGGGGAAUCUUGCGCAAUGGGCGAAAGCCUGACGCAGCCAUGCCGCGUGUAUGAUGAAGGUCUUAGGAUUGUAAAAUACUUUCACCGGUGAAGAUAAUGACUGUAGCCGGAGAAGAAGCCCCGGCUAACUUCGUGCCAGCAGCCGCGGUAAUACGAAGGGGGCUAGCGUUGCUCGGAAUUACUGGGCGUAAAGGGAGCGUAGGCGGACAUUUAAGUCAGAGGUGAAAUCCCGGAGCUUAACUUCGGAACUGCCUUUGAUACUGGGUGUCUUGAGUGUGAGAGAGGUAUGUGGAACUCCGAGUGUAGAGGUGAAAUUCGUAGAUAUUCGGAAGAACACCAGUGGCGAAGGCGACAUACUGGCUCAUUACUGACGCUGAGGCUCGAAAGCGUGGGGAGCAAACAGGAUUAGAUACCCUGGUAGUCCACGCCGUAAACGAUGAUUGCUAGUUGUCGGGGAGUUUACUUCUCGGUGACGCAGCUAACGCAUUAAGCAAUCCGCC
This 502-nucleotide ribosomal RNA is filed under the name uncultured Brevundimonas sp. RNAcentral's name for it is "bacterial SSU rRNA". It matches the Rfam family "Bacterial small subunit ribosomal RNA", at positions 353 to 873 of the family's 1533-position model. Lineage: Bacteria; Pseudomonadati; Pseudomonadota; Alphaproteobacteria; Caulobacterales; Caulobacteraceae. The record is from RNAcentral.